AUGUGCUUACGAGAAAGAAGGGUUGCGUGGGUACCUUGGGACUGUGUGAUCAUGCCCACAUAUAAAGGAGGACUUGGAUUCAGAGAUACAGAAAUUUUCAACCUUGCUCUACUAGCUAGGCAGGUGUGAAGAAUCCUAAAUGAGCCGAUGACUCUAAGUGCAAAAGUGUUGAAGGUUGUUUACUUUCUGGAUAGUGAUAUUCUGUCGGAUGAAUUGGGAAAAAAAAAUCCUUUGCAAGUUUGGAGAGCUCUAUGUGAAGGUAGGACCACCUUAAAACUAGGUUUGAUUCAACUCAUUGGGGACGGGAGUUCAACGGAGAUUUGGGAGGACAAUUGGCUGCCACAAGAUUAUAGUUUAAGGCCUCCCUGCUCGCUAAAGGCUAACCCACCUGAAUUAAUGUGA
RNAcentral lists this ribosomal RNA (402 nucleotides) under Triticum aestivum (bread wheat). RNAcentral's name for it is "partial small subunit ribosomal RNA". The record is from RNAcentral. Lineage: Eukaryota; Viridiplantae; Streptophyta; Magnoliopsida; Poales; Poaceae.